ACCUGAAUGGGAGUGAAUUAGAGUAAGUUAGCCUUGACUUCUAAGCCACCAAAGCAUGUUAUCUGCACAUUAACAUUA
Long non-coding RNA from Myripristis murdjan (pinecone soldierfish), 78 nucleotides. RefSeq lists it as uncharacterized. The transcript is spliced from 4 exons. Lineage: Eukaryota; Metazoa; Chordata; Actinopteri; Holocentriformes; Holocentridae. The record is from RefSeq and is a predicted model, not a curated record.